This 467-nucleotide ribosomal RNA is filed under the name uncultured bacterium. RNAcentral's name for it is "partial 16S ribosomal RNA". It matches the Rfam family "Bacterial small subunit ribosomal RNA", at positions 28 to 507 of the family's 1533-position model. The record is from RNAcentral.
GAUGAACGCUGGCGGCGUGCUUAACACAUGCAAGUCGAACGGAAAGGCCCAAGCUUGCUUGGGUACUCGAGUGGCGAACGGGUGAGUAACACGUGGGUGAUCUGCCCUGCACUUCGGGAUAAGCCUGGGAAACUGGGUCUAAUACCGGAUAGGACCACUUCUUGGAUGUUGUGGUGGAAAGUUUUUUCGGUGUGGGAUGAGCUCGCGGCCUAUCAGCUUGUUGGUGGGGUAAUGGCCUACCAAGGCGUCGACGGGUAGCCGGCCUGAGAGGGUGUACGGCCACAUUGGGACUGAGAUACGGCCCAGACUCCUACGGGAGGCAGCAGUGGGGAAUAUUGCACAAUGGGCGCAAGCCUGAUGCAGCGACGCCGCGUGGGGGAUGACGGCCUUCGGGUUGUAAACUCCUUUCGCUAGGGACGAAGCGUUUUGUGACGGUACCUGGAGAAGAAGCAUCGGCUAACUACGUG